Molecule: long non-coding RNA, 1859 nt
Organism: Gorilla gorilla gorilla (western lowland gorilla)
Lineage: Eukaryota; Metazoa; Chordata; Mammalia; Primates; Hominidae
Exons: 3
Source: RefSeq, a predicted model, not a curated record
UGAUUUUUCAGUAAACUUUAUGAAGUGUCAGUUCCUUGGGCAGAAUCUGCUCUUUGGACUUGGAGAUGACCGCCAGGAAAUCACUUCCUUUGAGACAUACCCCAUGCUCUCUUAUUUCAUGGGGGAGUCCAGAAGUAUUUAAAAUGUUAGUGAGUGAGUUCUGUUGUUGCCGCCGUACUGCAAGGCGAGGGUCACGGGGCGUUUCUCCCCAUUGUACAGAAGGAGAUACUGAGGCCCAGAGAGAGUUGCUCGCAAAGCUGUGGGUCUGCUGGCAGCUGGGAGGGAGGCGCCUCUGCUUGUAAGCUCUCAAGGCUGCGAGUGAGCUGUAGGCAGUCUGUCUGUGUCUUUGUGAGGCGCCCGUGAGAUUAGCCACUGAGCAGAGGUUUAAUUUAUGAUGGCGCCUAGUAUUCUCGUCCUGCUGCCUUCUAGAAUCUGCUGCAUCACUGGAGUUGCCGGGCUCCCAGGGGUGUCUUAAGUCUCAUAAGUAAUCUGUGUCUCAGCCAUGUUCGAGGCAGCCUCAUGCAGGGGACGGGCCUCAAGGAGUGGCUCUGCACCGAGGCUCAGGCCAGGCUCAGAUUUGCCCAGACCGAGAGGGGAGCCAAAAUCUGUGCCUUCCCAAUAUGUUCCGGGUGCUGCAGGGGUGCUGGGUGAACAAGAACUGGGCCUGUCUGCAGCUGCUCAGCCUCAAGCACACAGGACAGAAUGAAUUCAGGACAGAGUCUAAGAAGAGGCUGCAAGGGACCAGGCCCUGUCUCUCUGGGAAGCCGAGGCCACUCUCCGCCCCCUCUCUUUUCUGUGUCUCCACCAUAAAGUACUCGUUGAGUAAAUGAAUGAAUCAGAUGCGCUGCCUCGAGGGCCCCGCCUCCCUCCCGGCCGGUGUGGGUGUGCAGAUGGAUGAGCUCAGGUUUGGACGUGACUCAGAAGGAAGGUAGUGGGGAAAUACAAGGUGGUGAUCUCAUGUGGCAUUAAACAGAGCUGGGAACAUGAAGUGUGUGUACGCUUCUCUUUUCGUCAUUUCUCUCCUCAUUUCAGACCCCCUGGCAACAGUCUGCCAGGAUGAGACUAUGGGGCAGCCAGAGGAGAGAAAACCGGCUCCAUUUUCACCCGCCUGUGAGUUCUCAGGGACCAUUCCAUCUUCUGCACGUGGAGCGUGGGAGAGGGGCAGAGGCCGUCACUACACAGCCCACCUUCAGUGCUCUGUCUUCCUCCUUAGUCUGCAGAAGGUACCCACUCUGUUUCGGGUGGGUGUGGGCAGGUUGACCUCAGGGCUGGGGGAAGGUUUGAUUGACUUUGGCAUUCUCUGAGAGAGGAGUGGAAGAAGCCCCUGCUUUAGAAGUCAGGGCAGAGAGAGGGAGUUCAUGUGAUCUGGUGGAAAGGCCUUUGGCUUAGAAAGGAGAAGCUCUGAUUUCUAGUUCUGGUUUGGAUAUUAGUUUGGUGUCCUGGGGAAAGUCCUUUAUCCCCUAGAUCUCAGCUUCUCCACCUGUCACAUGGGCAACACGUGUACCUGCCCUCCCAACACGUGUACACGCCCAGAGUGGCCAUAAGGACCACGUGAGUUAAUGGUAUGACAGCCUGGGAAAAGUGAAAAAUGCUGAUAAAAGUAAUGUGAUCCAUUAUUAGUAACAAACCCUGUGAACACUCAGCACCAUAGGCAUCAGUCCGGAUGUGGGAAUCACAGCUAGAAAAGGCCUAGAUCCCUGCCCGGGCAUUUGGGAAAGGCUUCCAUGCCUGUGAGCUUGUUGGAGGAGUGGGAACCAUGCGAGUGAGUUUGGAAGACUUAUCAAGGAGGCAGUUUUGAAUGACAUUUGAAGGCAGGAAGAAGAUCGUAUCAGGUGUCAGGGUGGGCAGGGUGGCUUCCU